GUAGUCCACGCCGUAAACGAUGGAUGCUAGCCGUUGGUAAGCAUGCUUAUCAGUGGCGCAGCUAACGCAUUAAGCGUCCCGCCUGGGGAGUAUGGCCGCAAGGUUGAAACUCAAAGGAAUUGACGGGGGCCCGCACAAGCGGUGGAGCAUGUGGUUUAAUUCGACGCAACGCGAAGAACCUUACCUGGGUUUGAACUGCGGUGGACCGCUCCAGAGAUGGAGCUUCCCUUCGGGGCUGCCGUGGAGGUGCUGCAUGGCUGUCGUCAGCUCGUGUCGUGAGAUGUUGGGUUAAGUCCCGCAACGAGCGCAACCCUCGCUCCCAGUUGCCAGCGGUUCGGCCGGGGACUCUGGGGGGACUGCCGGCGUUAAGCCGGAGGAAGGUGGGGACGACGUCAAGUCAUCACGGCCCUUACGUCCAGGGCGACACACGUGCUACAAUGCCCGGUACAACGCGUCGCGAACCUGCGAAGGGGAGCCAAUCGCGAAAAGCCGGGCUAAGUUCGGAUUGUAGUCUGCAACUCGACUGCAUGAAGCCGGAAUCGCUAGUAAUCGCGGAUCAGCCACGCCGCGGUGAAUA
Molecule: ribosomal RNA, 577 nt
Filed under: uncultured Hyphomicrobiaceae bacterium
Lineage: Bacteria; Pseudomonadati; Pseudomonadota; Alphaproteobacteria; Hyphomicrobiales; Hyphomicrobiaceae
Description: bacterial SSU rRNA
Rfam family: Bacterial small subunit ribosomal RNA
Source: RNAcentral